Non-coding RNA from Felis catus (domestic cat), 86 nucleotides. The record is from Rfam. Lineage: Eukaryota; Metazoa; Chordata; Mammalia; Carnivora; Felidae.
GCCUGGGUGGCUCAGUCGGUUAAGCAUCCGACUUCAGCUCAGGUCAUGACCUCACAGUCUGUGAGUUCGAGCCCCGCGCCCAGGCU